ACAAAUAUGAAGGCGGGCUGGAACCUCUCGGGGUUACAGCCUUGCUGAAUUAUUCACCCUUGUCUUUUGCGUACUUCUUGUUUCCUUGGUGGGUUCGCCCACCACUAGGACAAACAUAAACCUUUUGUAAUUGCAAUCAGCGUCAGUAACAAAUUAAUAAUUACAACUUUCAACAACGGAUCUCUUGGUUCUGGCAUCGAUGAAGAACGCAGCGAAAUGCGAUAAGUAGUGUGAAUUGCAGAAUUCAGUGAAUCAUCGAAUCUUUGAACGCACAUUGCGCCCUUUGGUAUUCCAAAGGGCAUGCCUGUUCGAGCGUCAUUUGUACCCUCAAGCUUUGCUUGGUGUUGGGCGUCUUGUCUCUAGCUUUGCUGGAGACUCGCCUUAAAGUAAUUGGCAGCCGGCCUACUGGUUUCGGAGCGCAGCACAAGUCGCACUCUCUAUCAGCAAAGGUCUAGCAUCCAUUAAGCCUUUUUUUCAACUUUUGACCUCGGAUCAGGUAGGGAUACCCGCUGAACUU
This 517-nucleotide ribosomal RNA is filed under the name Alternaria sp. Its description in RNAcentral is "eukaryotic LSU rRNA". The stretch from base 165 to 318 matches the Rfam family "5.8S ribosomal RNA". The record is from RNAcentral. Lineage: Eukaryota; Fungi; Ascomycota; Dothideomycetes; Pleosporales; Pleosporaceae.